GAUGAACGCUGGCGGCGUGCCUAAUACAUGCAAGUCGAGCGAACGGACGAGAAGCUUGCUUCUCUGAUGUUAGCGGCGGACGGGUGAGUAACACGUGGAUAACCUACCUAUAAGACUGGGAUAACUUCGGGAAACCGGAGCUAAUACCGGAUAAUAUUUUGAACCGCAUGGUUCAAAAGUGAAAGACGGUCUUGCUGUCACUUAUAGAUGGAUCCGCGCUGCAUUAGCUAGUUGGUAAGGUAACGGCUUACCAAGGCAACGAUGCAUAGCCGACCUGAGAGGGUGAUCGGACACACUGGAACUGAGACACGGUCCAGACUCCUACGGGAGGCAGCAGUAGGGAAUCUUCCGCAAUGGGCGAAAGCCUGACGGAGCAACGCCGCGUGAGUGAUGAAGGUCUUCGGAUCGUAAAACUCUGUUAUUAGGGAAGAACAAAUGUGUAAGUAACUGUGCACAUCUUGACGGUACCUAAUCAGAAAGCCACGGCUAACUACGUG
Molecule: ribosomal RNA, 497 nt
Filed under: uncultured bacterium
Lineage: Bacteria
Description: partial 16S ribosomal RNA
Rfam family: Bacterial small subunit ribosomal RNA
Source: RNAcentral